AGACCCGAAACCCGGUGAUCUAGCCAUGGGCAGGUUGAAGGUUGGGUAACACUAACUGGAGGACCGAACCGACUAAUGUUGAAAAAUUAGCGGAUGACCUGUGGCUGGGGGUGAAAGGCCAAUCAAACCGGGAGAUAGCUGGUUCUCCCCGAAAGCUAUUUAGGUAGCGCCUCGUGAAUUCAUCUCCGGGGGUAGAGCACUGUUUCGGCUAGGGGGCCAUCCCGGCUUACCAACCCGAUGCAAACUGCGAAUACCGGAGAAUGUUAUCACGGGAGACACACGGCGGGUGCUAACGUCCGUCGUGAAGAGGGAAACAACCCAGACCGCCAGCUAAGGUCCCAAAGUCAUGGUUAAGUGGGAAACGAUGUGGGAAGGCCCAGACAGCCAGGAUGUUGGCUUAGAAGCAGCCAUCAUUUAAAGAAAGCGUAAUAGCUCACUGGUCGAGUCGGCCUGCGCGGAAGAUGUAACGGGGCUAAACCAUGCACCGAAGCUGCGGCAGCGACACUGUGUGUUGUUGGGUAGGGGAGCGUUCUGUAAGCCUGCGAAGGUGGCCUGUGAGGGUUGCUGGAGGUAUCAGAAGUGCGAAUGCUGACAUAAGUAACGAUAAAGCGGGUGAAAAGCCCGCUCGCCGGAAGACCAAGGGUUCCUGUCCAACGUUAAUCGGGGCAGGGUGAGUCGACCCCUAAGGCGAGGCCGAAAGGCGUAGUCGAUGGGAAACGGGUUAAUAUUCCCGUACUUGGUGUUACUGCGAAGGGGGGACGGAGAAGGCUAUGUUGGCCGGG
This 782-nucleotide ribosomal RNA is filed under the name Salmonella enterica subsp. enterica serovar Enteritidis. RNAcentral describes it as "partial 23S ribosomal RNA". It matches the Rfam family "Bacterial large subunit ribosomal RNA", at positions 711 to 1495 of the family's 2925-position model. Lineage: Bacteria; Pseudomonadati; Pseudomonadota; Gammaproteobacteria; Enterobacterales; Enterobacteriaceae. The record is from RNAcentral.